UUGAAAGUGUUUGUUUUAGACAGAUUGGGAUCAUUUUUAUGCUAAUUUGUGCACUUGUGUCACUCGCUCAUGCUUGUCUCACCUUAUGUGUAAAUAGAGAGAAGUUGCUUUAAGCUGCUUUGACACCAGACACCAGUUUAGUGGUCUGAUUAAAACCAUGACAUGGGUUUUGCCAGUAGUGUGCACUCAUGCAAUGCAAGCAAUGAUAAAUAACCAACUCAGUGGAAUCAAAAGUUAAAAUGGUUAUAUAUAAAAACAAAGUUGAUGACAGCCCAAAUACAGUAUGUACAUCCAUUCACAAGUGUACUACUUACAAUGCAGUAUUACUGCCAUUUGUAAAGGUGUUGUCUUAUUUCUCUGUAAUUUUAAUUCUUGUAGGUACAUUCUGAGACAGAAAUUAGUCAACGUUUUAUUAUUUGUGACUUGCAGACACACCCAUUUAAAACAUUCCACUUGUACACACAGAACCAGGAAACAGGAAUCUCCUGAGUUCAGAGAAAUAGAAACUUAAGUGUAGUUGUGUAGGAAACUGAAAUCUCCUUACUUCAUGGAAAGAGAAACUUAAGUGUUGUGAAGCUGUUUGUCUCUGGAUGAUUGAUAAACAUGUAACCAUAAUACUGUAUCAGCAGCAAUACAGAGGACAGAGAAACAGGAAAAGGCUGCAGUGAGUCGAGUUGAAGGACGACUGAAGCAGAAGUUCAAUGUUCUGAGAAGGAAAGACACUGAGCUGGACCAGCUUUCACACACAGGAUCACAUCUCUUCUUUCCUGCCGGAAACAGAUCUAGAAAAACAGGAUCAUAGUGGACUUGAUCAUAUUCAACAACAUGGAUCCCAGGACCAGAAACAACUUCCUAGAGUAUUCCAAUCCGCUCACACUGGACCUGAACACGGUGAAUAAACACCUCCGUCUGUGUGAGAGGAACAGAGAGAUUACUGGCACUCUCACAGAGCAACCGUAUCCUGACCAUCCGGACAGAUUCGAUGGAUAUAAUCUUCAGGUGUUGUGUAGAGAGAGUGUGUGUGGACGCAGUUACUGGGAAGUUGAGUGGAGUGGGAUGUUUGGUGUGGAUAUAUCAGUGUCAUAUAAGAGCAUCAGCAGGAAAGGAGAGGUUUAUAAGUGUGUGUUCGGACGUAAUAAUCAGUCAUGGAGUUUGUUCUGUUCUCCCUCUAAAUGCGUAUUUGUUCAUAAUAACAAACAGACUGAUCUCCCUGUAGUGUCCAGUCGUAGAAUAGGAGUGUAUGUGGAUCACAGCGCAGGAACUCUGUCCUUCUACAGCGUUUCUGACACAAUGAACCUCAUACACUCAGUCCGGACCAGAUUUACUCAGCCGCUCUAUCCUGGGUUUUAUGCAUUUAUUGGAUCAUCAGCGAAACUGUGUUCAUGAAUCCGAAUAGAUUUUAGACAUUUCUAUGUAAUUUCUUUGUAUGUCUGCACUAAUAUGUAUGUCUGUGCCCUCUUUUGCACUGUAAGCUCCUGUGAACAAGAAAAAUUCCUGUGUCUGUUGCAGGAAUGGAAAUGAAGCUCUUUCUGAUUGUGAAGUUUUAGCGGCAUGAUAAAUAAGUGUUAAUGAUUUAUGUUCUUAUUUUUAGUUUUGUAUAUUGAAGAUCUUUUUUGUUGUUGUUGUUAUUUAAAGCUGAUUCUUGGAAAUGCUUAUACACUAUUUAAGGUCAUAUGUGAUCCUGGAACACAAAACCAAUCAUAAGUAGCAGGGGUAUAUUUGUAGCAAAAGCCAAUAAUACAUUGUAUAGUCAAAAUUGACGGUUUUUCUUUUAUGCCAAAACUCAUUAGGGUAUCGAGUAAAGCUCAUGUUCCAUGAAAAUAUUUGGUACAAUUCCUACUGUAAAUAUAUCAUAUGCUAAAAACUUAAUUUGGACAGGUUUAAAGGGGAUUUUCAAUAUUUAGAUUUUUUUUUUUUCAUCCUCAGAUU
This is a long non-coding RNA of Carassius auratus (goldfish), 1929 nucleotides long. RefSeq lists it as uncharacterized. The record is from RefSeq and is a predicted model, not a curated record. The transcript has 4 exons. Lineage: Eukaryota; Metazoa; Chordata; Actinopteri; Cypriniformes; Cyprinidae.